GGGUGAAAGCAGGGGACCUUCGGGCCUUGCGCGGAUAGAUGAGCCGAUGUCGGAUUAGCUAGUUGGCGGGGUAAAGGCCCACCAAGGCGACGAUCCGUAGCUGGUCUGAGAGGAUGAUCAGCCACACUGGAACUGAGACACGGUCCAGACUCCUACGGGAGGCAGCAGUGGGGAAUAUUGGACAAUGGGCGCAAGCCUGAUCCAGCCAUACCGCGUGGGUGAAGAAGGCCUUCGGGUUGUAAAGCCCUUUUGUUGGGAAAGAAAAGCAGUCGGCUAAUACCCGGUUGUUCUGACGGUACCCAAAGAAUAAGCACCGGCUAACUUCGUGCCAGCAGCCGCGGUAAUACGAAGGGUGCAAGCGUUACUCGGAAUUACUGGGCGUAAAGCGUGCGUAGGUGGUUGUUUAAGUCUGUUGUGAAAGCCCUGGGCUCAACCUGGGAAUUGCAGUGGAUACUGGGCGACUAGAGUGUGGUAGAGGGUAGUGGAAUUCCCGGUGUAGCAGUGAAAUGCGUAGAGAUCGGGAGGAACAUCCAUGGCGAAAGCAGCUACCUGGACCAACACUGACACUGAGCACGAAAGCGUGGGAGCAAACAGGAUUAGAUACCCUGGUAGUCCACGCCCUAAACGAUGCG
RNAcentral lists this ribosomal RNA (632 nucleotides) under Stenotrophomonas rhizophila. Its description in RNAcentral is "bacterial SSU rRNA". It matches the Rfam family "Bacterial small subunit ribosomal RNA", at positions 198 to 813 of the family's 1533-position model. Lineage: Bacteria; Pseudomonadati; Pseudomonadota; Gammaproteobacteria; Lysobacterales; Lysobacteraceae. The record is from RNAcentral.